This 877-nucleotide ribosomal RNA is filed under the name Biscogniauxia petrensis. RNAcentral describes it as "eukaryotic LSU rRNA". It matches the Rfam family "Eukaryotic large subunit ribosomal RNA", at positions 45 to 947 of the family's 3401-position model. Lineage: Eukaryota; Fungi; Ascomycota; Sordariomycetes; Xylariales; Xylariaceae. The record is from RNAcentral.
AAUAAGCGGAGGAAAAGAAACCAACAGGGAUUGCCCUAGUAACGGCGAGUGAAGCGGCAACAGCUCAAAUUUGAAAUCUGGCUUUCGGGUCCGAAUUGUAAUUUGCAGAGGAUGCUUUUGGCGAGGUGCCUUCCGAGUUCCCUGGAACGGGACGCCUUAGAGGGUGAGAGCCCCGUACGGUUGGACACUAAGCCUCUGUAAAGCUCCUUCGACGAGUCGAGUAGUUUGGGAAUGCUGCUCUAAAUGGGAGGUAAAUUUCUUCUAAAGCUAAAUACCGGCCAGAGACCGAUAGCGCACAAGUAGAGUGAUCGAAAGAUGAAAAGCACUUUGAAAAGAGGGUUAAAUAGCACGUGAAAUUGUUGAAAGGGAAGCGUUUACGGCCAGACCUUUUCCUAGCGGAUCAUCUGGUGUUCUCACCGGUGCACUUCGCUAGGUUUAGGCCAGCAUCGGCUUCUGUAGAGGGAUAAAAGCAGUGGGAAAGUAGCUCUCUCGGGAGUGUUAUAGCCCUAAGCAUAAUACCUUUACGGGGGCCGAGGACCGCGCUUUUGCAAGGAUGCUGGCGUAAUGGUCGUCAACGACCCGUCUUGAAACACGGACCAAGGAGUCGAACAUUUGUGCGAGUGUUUGGGUGUUAAACCCUCACGCGUAAUGAAAGUGAACGGAGGUGAGAGCCCUUUACGGGGUGCAUCAUCGACCGAUCCUGAUGUCUUCGGAUGGAUUUGAGUAGGAGCAUUAAUGUUCGGACCCGAAAGAUGGUGAACUAUGCGUGGAUAGGGUGAAGCCAGAGGAAACUCUGGUGGAGGCUCGCAGCGGUUCUGACGUGCAAAUCGAUCGUCAAAUCUGCGCAUGGGGGCGAAAGACUUAUCGAACCAUCUAG